Molecule: ribosomal RNA, 450 nt
Filed under: uncultured bacterium
Lineage: Bacteria
Description: bacterial SSU rRNA
Rfam family: Bacterial small subunit ribosomal RNA
Source: RNAcentral
CUCUGUGACUCCGUACGGGAGGCAGCAGUGGGAAUAUUGGACAAGUGGGGCAACCCUGAUCCAGCCAUGCCGCGUGAGUGAUGAAGGCCUUAGGGUUGUAAAGCUCUUUCAGCGAGGAGGAUAAUGACGUUACUCGCAGAAGAAGCCCCGGCUAACUUCGUGCCAGCAGCCGCGGUAAUACGAAGGGGCUAGCGUUGUUCGGAAUCACUGGGCGUAAAAGCGCACGUAGGCGGAUUGAUAAAGUUAGGGUGAAAAUCCCGGGCUCAACCUCGGAAACUGCCUUUGAUACUGUCAGUCUUGAGUCCGAGAGAGGUGAGUGGAACUCCGAGUGUAGAGGUGAAAAUUCGUAGAUAUUCGGAAGAACACCAGUGGCGAAGGCGGCUCACUGGCUCGGUACUGACGCUGAGGUGCGAAAGCGUGGGGAGCAAACAGGAUUAGACACCCUGGUAG